AUGCUAAAGUAUCUCCUUGCGUCUCUCUCUUCUUUCUUUCUCAACAAUGCAGGCUGUGGAACUCAAGGCAAAGCACCUAUGGAUGAAGGGAAAACAGCUUCCUUGGAAAACGCUUGUAUCAGGAGUCUCCAACAGAGAGAGGGCCUGCUGUGUCAGGAUAUAAUUCAAAUCCCACCGCGCAUGGGUUUCUUGGCUUUAUUUCUUAGAACCAGGAGUCUGAUUUUGAGGAAAUCGCUAUUGAACAACCACCAAUCUACCUGGGGUACCAAGAAAGGAGAGAUGCUCUCAGAGGAAAUGGACCAUGUCCCUGGACAGAACAACCAGGCAGCAGAGGUGACUGACCUGAAAGCCCCUCCUUCGUGCUGGUGCAUUUUCCUAGCUGGCUUCCCCUGACCUGGGGGUUGUGCCCCAUCUCUCUGGUCUGAUGCACAGGUAGGAAAGGCUGGGGGUUUUUUUCAUCACAAGCACGCAGUUUGGGAUGCAGAGACGUGCCUGGUUCCUCCCCCAGAAGCUGUGAAUAACACUCUUAACAGCCCAUGCAAAUGCGGUGGUCUAUGUCUGCACGCCCAGCUGGUCCGCUGAUCAAUUUUUACUUCUCAAAUUGGGUCAGUGCAACAGGAUGGAGCUUUCCGUUCCCGUGAUCUAAAUUCUCCGUGCGAUCUAAAUUCUAUUAACACGGGGGGGAACCUGGACAUACCAAGGCAAGCCUUUGGCUUCCCUGGGACCGCCUUUCAGAAAGACCCAUUGACCUAUUUUCUUUUUAGACUUUCUUUCUUUUAAUUAAAAGGCCCCAGUUUCCUGGGUGUUCAUUGGGGAUUAGCUUGAGAAUUAAGCGGCUGUGCCUCGUGCAGAGAGAACAAGCUGGUGGAAAGGUGAGACAGGCCCCUAUUUCAUUCAGUGCUUAACCAUAUCAGGUGGGUCUUCCUGUCCAAGAAAUUGCUGUGCAACAUCCUCAUAUCUGGAAGAGGCACCAAGACAGGUGAUGGGCCUUUCUGGAUACUGGGCCCAGGUAGCAGGAUGGGCUGUGGACUUGGGGUGGUGUGGGGUGGGGUUGGGGAUGUACUGACUGGCUUCCAAGAAUUGCAUCUUCCCCUCCUCUUCCACCAAAGAGGCUCUGAUGUUUCCAGCCUGACACUGCUUUCCUACUUUCCUUUCAUCCUGGGCAAUGAGUGCCUAUUUGGGCCUGGGAGGCACAGCCUGCUUUGUGUUUCUUUCUUCCUCUUUNNNNNNNNUUUUUUUGUCUUUUUAGGGCCACACCCACGGCAUAUGGAGGUUCCCAGGCUAGGGGUCCAAUAGGAGCUACAGCUGCUGGCCUAGGCCACAGCCACAGCAACAUGGGAUCCUUAACCCACUGAGCGAGGCCAGGGAUUGAACCUGCGUCCUCUUGGAUGCU
This 1393-nucleotide long non-coding RNA is filed under the name Sus scrofa (pig). RNAcentral's name for it is "lncRNA (ENSSSCG00050040147.1)". Lineage: Eukaryota; Metazoa; Chordata; Mammalia; Artiodactyla; Suidae. The record is from RNAcentral.